GUGGUGGUGGUGGGGCCCUCAGCCCAGAUUGUGAGAGGGUGCAGGCCAGGCUGAGAGACCCCACCAGCGCAGG
Molecule: microRNA precursor, 73 nt
Filed under: Myotis davidii
Lineage: Eukaryota; Metazoa; Chordata; Mammalia; Chiroptera; Vespertilionidae
Description: mir-9193 microRNA precursor family
Rfam family: mir-9193 microRNA precursor family
Source: Rfam by way of RNAcentral